This 33-nucleotide ribosomal RNA is filed under the name Penicillium brevicompactum. RNAcentral describes it as "partial 18S ribosomal RNA". Lineage: Eukaryota; Fungi; Ascomycota; Eurotiomycetes; Eurotiales; Aspergillaceae. The record is from RNAcentral.
UUCCGUAGGUGAACCUGCGGAAGGAUCAUUACC